UGCCUACGGGGCGCAGCAGUGGGGGAUAUUGCACAAUGGGGGAAACCCUGAUGCAGCGACGCCGCGUGUGGGAAGACGGUCCUCUGGAUUGUAAACCACUGUCCCCAGGGACGAAGAUGACGGUACCUGGGGAGGAAGCUCCGGCUAACUACGUGCCAGCAGCCGCGGUAAUACGUAGGGGGCAAGCGUUAUCCGGAUUUACUGGGUGUAAAGGGAGCGUAGACGGCAGAGCAAGUCUGAAGUGAAAGCCCGCGGCCCAACUGCGGGACUGCUUUGGAAACUGCCCGGCUAGAGUGCUGGAGAGG
RNAcentral lists this ribosomal RNA (305 nucleotides) under uncultured bacterium. RNAcentral describes it as "bacterial SSU rRNA". It matches the Rfam family "Bacterial small subunit ribosomal RNA", at positions 335 to 657 of the family's 1533-position model. The record is from RNAcentral.